RNAcentral lists this transfer RNA (77 nucleotides) under Paramuricea clavata. It matches the Rfam family "tRNA". From Rfam's summary of the family: Transfer RNA (tRNA) molecules are approximately 80 nucleotides in length. Their secondary structure includes four short double-helical elements and three loops (D, anti-codon, and T loops). The record is from Rfam by way of RNAcentral. Lineage: Eukaryota; Metazoa; Cnidaria; Anthozoa; Malacalcyonacea; Plexauridae.
GACCGCGUAGCUCAGUUGCAUGGCAGAGCAUUGGACUAGUAUUCCAAAGGUCGUAGGUUCGAUUCCCACCGUGGCCA